AACGAACGCUGGCGGCAUGCCUAACACAUGCAAGUCGAACGAGACCUUCGGGUCUAGUGGCGCACGGGUGCGUAACGCGUGGGAAUCUGCCCUUCGGUUCGGAAUAACAGUUAGAGAUGACUGCUAAUACCGGAUGAUGACGUAAGUCCAAAGAUUUAUCGCCGAAGGAUGAGCCCGCGUAAGAUUAGCUAGUUGGUGAGGUAAAGGCUCACCAAGGCUACGACUUUAGUCUGGUCUGAGAGGAUGAUCAGCCACACUGGGACUGAGACACGGCCCAGACUCCUACGGGAGGCAGCAGGUGGGGAAUAUUGGACAAUGGGCGAAAGCCUGAUCCAGCAAUGCCGCGUGAGUGAUGAAGGCCUUAGGGUUGUAAAGCUCUUUACCCGGGAUGAUAAUGACAGUACCGGGAGAAU
This 413-nucleotide ribosomal RNA is filed under the name uncultured bacterium. RNAcentral's name for it is "bacterial SSU rRNA". It matches the Rfam family "Bacterial small subunit ribosomal RNA", at positions 29 to 487 of the family's 1533-position model. The record is from RNAcentral.